AACGAACGCUGGCGGCAGGCUUAACACAUGCAAGUCGAACGAGAUCUUCGGACCUAGUGGCAGACGGGUGAGUAACGCGUGGGAACGUGCCUUUCGGUUCGGAAUAACUCAGGGAAACUUGAGCUAAUACCGGAUACGCCCUUCGGGGGAAAGAUUUAUUGCCGAAGGAUCGGCCCGCGUCCGAUUAGCUAGUUGGUGUGGUAAUGGCGCACCAAGGCGACGAUCGGUAGCUGGUCUGAGAGGAUGAUCAGCCACACUGGGACUGAGACACGGCCCAGACUCCUACGGGAGGCAGCAGUGGGGAAUAUUGGACAAUGGGCGCAAGCCUGAUCCAGCCAUGCCGCGUGAGUGAUGAAGGCCCUAGGGUUGUAAAGCUCUUUCGCCAGGGACGAUAAUGACGGUACCUGGAUAAGAAGCCCCGGCUAACUUCGUGCCAGCCGCCGCGGUAA
This 449-nucleotide ribosomal RNA is filed under the name uncultured bacterium. Its description in RNAcentral is "partial 16S ribosomal RNA". It matches the Rfam family "Bacterial small subunit ribosomal RNA", at positions 29 to 523 of the family's 1533-position model. The record is from RNAcentral.